CUACGGGUGGCAGCAGUGGGGAAUCUUGCGCAAUGGGCGAAAGCCUGACGCAGCAACGCCGCGUGCGGGAAGAAGGCUUUCGGGCUGUAAACCGCUUUCAGUAGGAACGAAACUGACGGUACCUACAGAAGAAGGAGCGGCCAACUAUGUGCCAGCAGCCGCGGUGACACAUAGGCUCCAAGCGUUGUCCGGAUUUAUUGGGCGUAAAGAGCUCGUAGGCGGCCGAGUAAGUCGGGUGUGAAAACUCUGGGCUUAACCCAGAGAUGCCACUCGAUACUGCUGUGACUUGAGUUCGGUAGGGGAGCGGGGAAUUCCUUGUGUAGCGGUGAAAUGCGCAGAUAUGAGGAGGAACACCGGUGGCGAAAGCGCCGCUCUGGGCCGUAACUGACGCUGAGGAGCGAAAGCGUGGGUAGCAAACAGGAUUAGAUACCCUCGUAGUC
RNAcentral lists this ribosomal RNA (440 nucleotides) under uncultured bacterium. RNAcentral's name for it is "partial 16S ribosomal RNA". It matches the Rfam family "Bacterial small subunit ribosomal RNA", at positions 339 to 795 of the family's 1533-position model. The record is from RNAcentral.